AUUGGGCAAUGCCCGCAAGGGUGACCCAGCAACGCCGCGUGGAGGAUGAAUGUCGUAAGAUUGUAAACUCCUGUUAGAGGGGAAGAAUAGUACCGGUUGGACCGGUAUAUGACUGUACCCUCAGAGAAAGCCCCGGCUAACUACGUGCCAGCAGCCGCGGUAAUACGUAGGGAGCAAGCGAUGUUCGGAUUUACUGGGCGUAAAGGGCGCGUAGGCGGCGCGGUAAGUCACUUGUGAAAUCUCUGAGCUUAACUCAGAACGGCCAACUGAUACUGCUGUGCUAGAGUGCGGAAGAGGCAACCGGAGUUCUUGGUGUAGCGGUGAAAUGCGUAGAUAUCAAGAGGAACACCUGAGGCGAAGGCGAGUUGCUGGGCCGACACUGACGCUGAUG
Molecule: ribosomal RNA, 391 nt
Filed under: uncultured bacterium
Lineage: Bacteria
Description: bacterial SSU rRNA
Rfam family: Bacterial small subunit ribosomal RNA
Source: RNAcentral